UGUUGAGGAAAUUUCUGCAGUUUUAAGCAGUCGUAUUUGUGAUUGAAGCUGAGUACAUUUUGCUGGUGUAUUUUUAGGUAAAAUGCUUUUUGUUCAUUUCUGGUGGUGGGAGGGGACUGAAGCCUUUAGUCUUUUCCAGAUGCAACCUUAAAAUCAGUGACAAGAAACAUUCCAAACAAGCAACAGUCUUCAAGAAAUUAAACUGGCAAGUGGAAAUGUUUAAACAGUUCAGUGAUCUUUAGUGCAUUGUUUAUGUGUGGGUUUCUCUCUCCCCUCCCUUGGUCUUAAUUCUUACAUGCAGGAACACUCAGCAGACACACGUAUGCGAAGGGCCAGAGAAGCCAGACCCAGUAAGAAAAAAUAGCCUAUUUACUUUAAAUAAACCAAACAUUCCAUUUUAAAUGUGGGGAUUGGGAACCACUAGUUCUUUCAGAUGGUAUUCUUCAGACUAUAGAAGGAGCUUCCAGUUGAAUUCACCAGUGGACAAAAUGAGGAAAACAGGUGAACAAGCUUUUUCUGUAUUUACAUACAAAGUCAGAUCAGUUAUGGGACAAUAGUAUUGAAUAGAUUUCAGCUUUAUGCUGGAGUAACUGGCAUGUGAGCAAACUGUGUUGGCGUGGGGGUGGAGGGGUGAGGUGGGCGCUAAGCCUUUUUUUAAGAUUUUUCAGGUACCCCUCACUAAAGGCACCGAAGGCUUAAAGUAGGACAACCAUGGAGCCUUCCUGUGGCAGGAGAGACAACAAAGCGCUAUUAUCCUAAGACCCUUCACCCCUCACCUCGAUGCAGCCAGUAGCUUGGAUCCUUGUGGGCAUGAUCCAUAAUCGGUUUCAAGGUAACGAUGGUGUCGAGGUCUUUGGUGGGUUGAACUAUGUUAGAAAAGGCCAUUAAUUUGCCUGCAAAUUGUUAACAGAAGGGUAUUAAAACCACAGCUAAGUAGCUCUAUUAUAAUACUUAUCCAGUGACUAAAACCAACUUAAACCAGUAAGUGGAGAAAUAACAUGUUCAAGAACUGUAAUGCUGGGUGGGAACAUGUAACUUGUAGACUGGAGAAGAUAGGCAUUUGAGUGGCUGAGAGGGCUUUUGGGUGGGAAUGCAAAAAUUCUCUGCUAAGACUUUUUCAGGUGAACAUAACAGACUUGGCCAAGCUAGCAUCUUAGCGGAAGCUGAUCUCCAAUGCUCUUCAGUAGGGUCAUGAAGGUUUUUCUUUUCCUGAGAAAACAACACGUAUUGUUUUCUCAGGUUUUGCUUUUUGGCCUUUUUCUAGCUUAAAAAAAAAAAAAGCAAAAGAUGCUGGUGGUUGGCACUCCUGGUUUCCAGGACGGGGUUCAAAUCCCUGCGGCGUCUUUGCUUUGACUACUAAUCUGUCUUCAGGACUCUUUCUGUAUUUCUCCUUUUCUCUGCAGGUGCUAGUUCUUGGAGUUUUGGGGAGGUGGGAGGUAACAGCACAAUAUCUUUGAACUAUAUACAUCCUUGAUGUAUAAUUUGUCAGGAGCUUGACUUGAUUGUAUAUUCAUAUUUACACGAGAACCUAAUAUAACUGCCUUGUCUUUUUCAGGUAAUAGCCUGCAGCUGGUGUUUUGAGAAGCCCUACUGCUGAAAACUUAACAAUUUUGUGUAAUAAAAAUGGAGAAGCUC
RNAcentral lists this long non-coding RNA (1635 nucleotides) under Homo sapiens (human). The record is from RNAcentral. Lineage: Eukaryota; Metazoa; Chordata; Mammalia; Primates; Hominidae.